GGGCAGACGACCAAUCAAAAUAGUUCACCUACGAAUGGCCAGACUAUGCCAGUCACCAUGACCGGUCCAUCUAUGGAAUCAUCAACAUCUUUCACCUCCCUGAAUACCAUUGAAACACCCACCACUCCAAAGACAGACUCUACAGAAACACCCACUGAAAGUCCUUCUGCUGGCACAGUUUCCUCACCAGUAGUUCCUUCCACAUCUACCAGUGAAUCAACAGUGUCACACAAGUCCACCACAGUUCCAGUAAGUGAGGGAACCUCACAGGAAACCACAAUCAUUACAUCUACUGGUCAUUUAACACCAUCAGCAGAGACUUCUGUGUCAACACCCGUCACAGUGGUCACGGUGUCAAGUGAGUCUGCAGCACCUUCAAUUUCUUCUACAGUAACUGGGCAGACGACCAAUCAAAAGAGUUCACCUACAAAUGGCCAGACUAUGCCAGUCACCAUGACAGGUCCAUCUAUGCAACCGUCAACAUCUUUUACCUCCCUGAAUACCAUUGAAACACCCACCACUCCAAAGACAGAAUCUACAGAAACACCCACUGAAAGUCCAUCUAUGCAACCGUCAACAUCUUUUACCUCCCUGAAUACCAUUGAAACACCCACCACUCCAAAGACAGACUCUACAGAAACACCCACUGAAAGUCCUUCUGCUGGCACAGUUUCCUCACCAGUAGUUCCUUCCACAUCUACCAGUGAAUCAACCGUGUCACACAACUCUACCACAUUUCCUGUAAGUGAGGGAACCUCACAGGAAACCACAAUGGCUACAUCUACUGGUCAUGUAAUACCAUCAGCAGAGCCUUCUGUGUCAACACCCGUCACAGUGGUCACAGUGUCAAGUGAGUCUGCAGCACCUUCAAUUUCUUCUACAGUAACUGGGCAGACGACCAAUCAAAAUAGUUCACCUUCAAAUGGCCAAACUAUGCCAGUCACCAUGACAGGUCCAUCUAUGCAACCGUCAACAUCUUUCACCUCCCUGAAUACCAUUGAAACACCCACCACUCCAAAGACAG
RNAcentral lists this long non-coding RNA (1024 nucleotides) under Betta splendens (Siamese fighting fish). RNAcentral describes it as "lncRNA (ENSBSLG00000022885.1)". Lineage: Eukaryota; Metazoa; Chordata; Actinopteri; Anabantiformes; Osphronemidae. The record is from RNAcentral.